AGUUUCCCUGGCCGUAAAACGCGGGCGAUGGCGCUCGAUGCCCCGGGAGACGCCGGGGUCCGCGGGCCCUUCCGGCACCGGGUCCUCCUUCAGGUUCGGGCACCCGGCUGCCUCCACGCGGGGCGAGCGCGGCGAUGGGAUCGGUCCGUGCUGCGCUCAGCCCCGCUUUCGCUAUCCCUCUGCUCCAGGGGCAGCAAAAUCAGCAGAUGAGCCCCCAGCGCGCCUGCGGCCCACACACUGCGGCCGUAACAGUUAAACAGACGGGGAACAUUCAUGUGCGUAGAGCUCUUCACGGGGCGAUACAGAAAUGUGUCGUUCUAAAGCGUUAACGACCUGCAAUUUGCAUAUCCUCCAACACAUGGAUUUUACUGAUUCAAUUAUGGAUGUGUGCAAAGAAUCUGCUGCUCGGUGAGUCAUUGUUAAUUGUCGGCUUUGGGGGGAAUACAUAAAACGUGGAAUAUUGGCAAUUUAUCGUGUUUCGACCUUUUAUAAAGGCGUCACCAGGCUGCUGAGGCUAAUACAGAAACGCAGACCAUAAAAAAGAUCUGCGUCCACGCUGCAGGCGGGCCUCACGCUGAGCUCCCCGUGUCGACCCGGGGACAAAGCCUGCUCAGGAAGAGCAGAGGGUUCCACGCCCUGCAGGACCAGCGCCCUGGGCCCCUCUCCUGGAAAGUUAUGACUCGCACGUUCCCAGGAUUUAGCGCACAUCUCCCCCACCCUCACUGCCAUUUCACAGAACCGGGGCAGCCGCAGGGCUCCUGCAGGACCUCCCGGACGCCGCGGGGCCGUGUUCCCUUGAGCGGCUUCUUGGGUCCCUGGUUGGAGAGGGGACCACCGAGCAGCUUCGCUCUGCUCCUGGGAGGCUACUUCUGCCACUGGACGACUUUCCAAAAGGGUGAGCGCAGUUCUGCAAUCCUGUUCUCACCCCUGAGGGCCUCACACCAGUUUGCAGGAGCCAGCAGUGUGAUUGCCACCGACAAGUUCCCAACAAUUUGCAGGGCGUGGUGUCCUCAGUGCUGAGAGAGCCCCGCGACGGCGGUGCAGCUCCUCCAGGGCGCGCAGCCCCGCCACCUGGCGCCACCGCGAGGGAGCGCAGGCCCAGGGCCCGGGCAGACGCUGGAGGGGACGCGGCAGGUGAAGAUGGGGCACCUCCACUUCCCUUCUAAAGGAGCCUGGGAAUAGGCUAGGAAAUGUCCCCACUGUAGAAGACAGCAGGAACAUCUGACACGCGGAUAACCUGUGCUGAGCUCGUUAUAUUCCCAGCAUUUAAUUCUAGCCAUUAGGCAUGCGUUAGCCACAACUUCGCAUAGGAAGGUUAUUGCAGCUAUAUGGGAACACUUUCAGUUUCCCAAGUUAAAACAUGAAAUUGCACAUCAUCAUUUGGAUCCCCAAAGAGGAAAAGAAAAAUUCACAACCUGCCAGUGAAAUACUCAGGCCACUUGGAUGAAGACCGAGGUCCUCCAUAGAAUCCAGGUGUUAUUUACUAACUAAUCAGAAAUUAAUAUCAAAAUAGGACUUAAAAAUAACAAGGCUGUGUUAUUACAGCAGUCUUUCCAGUUGUGUACGCUUUACUAAUCUAAAUUGGGUAACAGAACUGGAGAAAAGGAAGACUACACAGACUUAUCAUAAGCUGUUAGUGAACGUGAUAGAAAUGCGUAAUUUGUUAAAGCGAAUUACAGCUCUGAUUUGUCAAAUGAGGAGGUGAAUUAUCCUAGGAUUUGCUAUGCUGUUGUGGCGUUAGAAGAUUGGAUCUUUAGCAGCAAAGGUAACCUCAACAAUAUUUUCUGCUUAAGAAAGUGCCUUGGUUAAGGUAGACCGUGAUAUCGUCUUUGACUAAGCUCUCUGGGCUAUUGAUUCUGUCAUAUUCCAAAGGCAGUAUUGGUUUGAAGCCGAAUCUCACGGUCAAUGUCAACAUGCAAUCCACAAAGACCCUGGCGCCCUUCCACGGUAUGCACUAACCAAAACUUUCUCACUGUGAAAUCCUUUUUUUAAAAACAAGAAAACAAAAAACAAAAACCAAAAAACCUUACUGUGAAUCCUUUCCCAAGGAAUGGUCCCACCUUCACCUCGGAAAGAGGCGUGGCUUGCUCUGUAAGCAGGUCCACCCUGAGGAGACCGCUGGUGCAAGAGCCCUGCUUGCAGAACACACAGGGGGUUUUCCCACAUUCUUACUGGAGUCAGAUUCGGCAAAGCAUUUCAAGCAACUGCUGGACACUUCAAAUACCACUCCCUGUUAACAACGCCCUGAGUAUCUCACUGUCUCCAGGAUCUGGUUUAAAGGGAAACACAGAAAUGGCCAACAGCUCCCUCCCCAGGCAGGACUGCGAUUUCACAGACAACCUAUAGGCAUCCCCAGUCUGGUGAAUAAACAGGAGAGUGAGAGGAAAACAGCAAUCAUUCAACUCCAGUAGAUGUAAAGCCUCCAGAAGAAUGUGUCCCGGGAAGGUCAGAAAUGUCAUUUUUUUCCUCCAGCACAUUUCAUCUGCCACAUUCCGCCGUCCGAUGUUUGAGGAAGGAGCCCCGCCUUUCCUUCAGGGGUUCUUGUCGCCAAGUUUGAUGGUGACAGUUUUCACUUCUGUGUAUUCGGCCAAAGCGUAUUCACCUCUGUGAUCACAGAAAAGAGGAAAAUUCAAAAUGGGUACAUCCCUUAGCCAUUGUGUAGAAACUGUUCUGAGGCUUCAUCAUUCCAUCAGGCCGUUGGAGGCUUAUGCAAAAGGUUAAAAUGUGACGACCUCAUGGAAUAAUAGCCAGGACUAUAACAGCACUAGUAAGUGUCAGUAGCUGCAUAUGUGACUUAAAUGUAAAUAUCAAGGUCUUCUUCUGUGUGAUGCUUUUGAAAUGGCCAGGACUAAGGGUUUCCCUUUAGAGAAUGAAGGGGAUUUUAAAAAAAGUAAAGAGGUGAAUUCCCUGGGGUGGCAAUAGAGAGCAAAACGAGAGAGCCUGGUGGACGGUGGGGUGUCUGUGAACGAGGGAGGGGCAGAAAUUACACUGGGUUGAUAACUUUUAGAUGGCAAUUGGGAGCUGCUUGAAGAGGAGACAGAAGAGGCAGAGGCCCAAAGCUAUUGGCUGGGGAUGUGGCCAGAGGACCAGUGGGAAGAACACCAAGGGCCUGAAGCUGGCCUCAGAGUGCACAGCUGGGGACCAGCUGUCAGGCAGUGAGGCCAGCCUAGGGGGCAUGAGAGAAGCAGACGUUAGCACAGAGUGGACAUGGGGAGGCCACAGCUUUUGGGUUCACAUCCUUGGUAUAGUUCCUUUCUUUAAAUCUUGCAGGGCUCAGGUGAUCCUUCCCUGGCACCAUGGGCCGUCUUCAGGGUAGCUUCCCUUCCAAGACCCAAGAGGCAGCUUUGGAGAGAUUUAAAUCCUUCUAAGCGCUUGAUCUGCUGUCAGGUGAAGAAAAAUGUGUGCUUGUUUAGGAAGAGAUGAAGGUAGAGGUGGCCACUGGAGUCUCUGUAGUUAAAAAGACCUGUGACAGAAUCCCAUCUCCUCCCUUAGAUCAAUGGUUCUCAAAGUGUGGUCCCCAGACCAGCAGCAUCAGCCUCACCUCUGAACUUGCUAGAAAUGUAGAUUCUCAGGCCUCCCCCAGCCCUACUAUCGUAGGCAGAAUAAGGAUCUCCCCAGGUAUCCAAAAUUGGAUCCCCCAAACCUGUGAAUAUGUUGGGCUACAGAGUGAAGAAUUAAUGUUGCAGAUGGAAUUCAAGUUACUAAUCAAUUGACUUUAAAAGAGGGAGACUCUCCUGGAUCAUCCAGGCAGACCCAGUGUAAUCACAAGGGUCCCCAAAACUGGCAGAAGAAGAGAGGCAGAGCAAAAUGAGAUUAUAGAAACAGGUUCAGAGAGCAGCAGUGCUGGCUUUGAAGAUGGAGGAUGGGGCCACCAGCCUAGGAAUGCGAGCAGCCUCUAGAGGAUGGAAAAGGCAAGGAAGUAGAUUCUCUCCUGAGAACCUCCAAAAAGGAAUGAAGCCCUUGAUUUUAGCUCAGGGAGACCUGUGUCAGAUUUUUAUCCUACAGAACUAUAAGAUAAUAGAUUUAUGUUAUUUAAGCCACUGAUGUUAUGGUAACUUCUUGCAGGAGCAAUAAAAGACUAAUAAACUUACUGAAUCAGAAACUCUAUGGUGGGGCCCAGACAUCU
This 4126-nucleotide long non-coding RNA is filed under the name Homo sapiens (human). Its description in RNAcentral is "HSALNT0383854". Lineage: Eukaryota; Metazoa; Chordata; Mammalia; Primates; Hominidae. The record is from RNAcentral.